This 168-nucleotide ribosomal RNA is filed under the name Helicobacter pylori. RNAcentral's name for it is "partial 23S ribosomal RNA". It matches the Rfam family "Bacterial large subunit ribosomal RNA", at positions 1928 to 2095 of the family's 2925-position model. Lineage: Bacteria; Pseudomonadati; Campylobacterota; Epsilonproteobacteria; Campylobacterales; Helicobacteraceae. The record is from RNAcentral.
CGGCGGCCGUAACUAUAACGGUCCUAAGGUAGCGAAAUUCCUUGUCGGUUAAAUACCGACCUGCAUGAAUGGCGUAACGAGAUGGGAGCUGUCUCAACCAGAGAUUCAGUGAAAUUGUAGUGGAGGUGAAAAUUCCUCCUACCCGCGGCAAGACGGAAAGACCCCGUG